AAUAACAGCCAUAUCACCCUGAAUAUGUCUGAUUUCGUCUGAUCUCAGAAGCUAAGUAGAGUCUGGCCUGGUUAGUACUUGGAUGGGAGAAAGAUAAAAAUAGACUGAAGUCUUCUCACAGGCUGGUAAAUAUUAUUG
This 138-nucleotide ribosomal RNA is filed under the name Erinaceus europaeus (western European hedgehog). The record is from RNAcentral. Lineage: Eukaryota; Metazoa; Chordata; Mammalia; Eulipotyphla; Erinaceidae.